RNAcentral lists this ribosomal RNA (553 nucleotides) under uncultured bacterium. Its description in RNAcentral is "partial 16S ribosomal RNA". It matches the Rfam family "Bacterial small subunit ribosomal RNA", at positions 355 to 895 of the family's 1533-position model. The record is from RNAcentral.
UGGGGAAUUUUUGGACAAUGGGCGAAAGCCUGAUCCAGCAAUGCCGCGUGCGUGAAGAAGGCCUUCGGGUUGUAAAGCACUUUUGUCCGGAAAGAAAUCCUUGGCUCUAAUACAGUCGGGGGAUGACGGUACCGGAAGAAUAAGCACCGGCUAACUACGUGCCAGCAGCCGCGGUAAUACGUAGGGUGCAAGCGUUAAUCGGAAUUACUGGGCGUAAAGCGUGCGCAGGCGGUUUGCUAAGACCGAUGUGAAAUCCCCGGGCUAACCUGGGAACUGCAUUGGUGACUGGCAGGCUAGAGUAUGGCAGAGGGGGGUAGAAUUCCACGUGUAGCAGUGAAAAUGCGUAGAGAUGUGGAGGAAUACCGAUGGCGAAGGCAGCCCCCCUGGGCCAAUACUGACGCUCAUGCACGAAAAGCGUGGGGAGCAAAACAGGAUUAGAUACCCUGGUAGUCCCACGCCCUAAACGAUGUCAACUAGUUGUUGGGGGAUUCAUUUCCUUAGUAACGUAGCUAACGCGUGAAGUUGACCGCCUGGGGAGUACGGUCGCAAGAUU